RNAcentral lists this ribosomal RNA (492 nucleotides) under uncultured bacterium. RNAcentral describes it as "partial 16S ribosomal RNA". It matches the Rfam family "Bacterial small subunit ribosomal RNA", at positions 29 to 507 of the family's 1533-position model. The record is from RNAcentral.
AGUGAACGCUGGCGGUAGGCCUAACACAUGCAAGUCGAACGGCAGCACAGUAAGAGCUUGCUCUUACGGGUGGCGAGUGGCGGACGGGUGAGGAAUACAUCGGAAUCUACUUUUUCGUGGGGGAUAACGUAGGGAAACUUACGCUAAUACCGCAUACGACCUACGGGUGAAAGCAGGGGAUCUUCGGACCUUGCGCGAUUGAAUGAGCCGAUGUCGGAUUAGCUAGUCGGCGGGGUAAAGGCCCACCAAGGCGACGAUCCGUCGCUGGUCUGAGAGGAUGAUCAGCCACACUGGAACUGAGACACGGUCCAGACUCCUACGGGAGGCAGCAGUGGGGAAUAUUGGACAAUGGGCGCAAGCCUGAUCCAGCCAUACCGCGUGGGUGAAGAAGGCCUUCGGGUUGUAAAGCCCUUUUGUUGGGAAAGAAAAGCAGCAGGUUAAUACCCCGCUGUUCUGACGGUACCCAAAGAAUAAGCACCGGCUAACUUCGUG